RNAcentral lists this Y RNA (110 nucleotides) under Piliocolobus tephrosceles (Ugandan red Colobus). RNAcentral's name for it is "Y RNA (ENSPTEG00000024892.1)". It matches the Rfam family "Y RNA". From Rfam's summary of the family: Y RNAs are components of the Ro ribonucleoprotein particle (Ro RNP), in association with Ro60 and La proteins. The Y RNAs and Ro60 and La proteins are well conserved, but the function of the Ro RNP is not known. In humans the RNA component can be one of four small RNAs -- hY1, hY3, hY4 and hY5. The record is from Rfam by way of RNAcentral. Lineage: Eukaryota; Metazoa; Chordata; Mammalia; Primates; Cercopithecidae.
GGCUGGUCUGAAGGUAGUGAGUCACCUCAGUUGUGGUUCAGCCAGUUACAGAUCAACCUCCUUGUCCUCCUCUUUCUCCCCUUCCCACUACUAUACUUGACUAAUCUUAA